Molecule: long non-coding RNA, 416 nt
Filed under: Citrus maxima (pomelo)
Lineage: Eukaryota; Viridiplantae; Streptophyta; Magnoliopsida; Sapindales; Rutaceae
Description: long non-coding RNA (CMAX_LNC003244)
Source: RNAcentral
UAAUAAACUAUCAUUCUACACAAGUUGCCUUUUCAAGUAAGCUAGUUAUACAAAGAGGUCCUACUUUCUUGUGCUUACAGUGACUGCAGCUAUAGUAUUAGCAGCUUAGCUUAGCUUAGCUUAGCUUGCUACAUGAUGUGAAUAGUUAAUUAUUUCCGAUGUGGUUUUCUGGAAGGUUAUAUUAGGAUUAGCAUAAGUUUCUCUGUACUUAUUCAAUAUGGUUAUGUCAUUGAUGUGAGAAUUAUCAGGCAUCCUAUUUGUUUUGCAUCUUAUUGACCUCUUUUUGACAUUGAUUUGGCCACUCUGUUGGGAUAACGUACUUGAUUGUUAAGAUAUUCUAGAAUUUCAUUUAUGUGAGAAUUAUUAGGCAUCCUAUUUGUUUUCCAUCUUAUUGACCUCUUUUUGACAGUGAUUUG